Non-coding RNA from Paramuricea clavata, 386 nucleotides. The record is from the annotation of a GenBank genome assembly. NCBI's taxonomy places the organism in Eukaryota, Metazoa, Cnidaria, Anthozoa, Malacalcyonacea, Plexauridae.
CUGUUGUUGUGCAUUAAAUAAAUGCAUAAAUUUUGCUUUAUGCACUCGCGUGUGCAGUAAUUUUGACAGUUAUGCUAUUAUAAAUUCCCAGGCGCAUAAAAUCUUUUAUCUUUAAAACAAUGUUGAUUUCUAGUUGGAAAUUUUCGAUUUAUACAAGCAGAGCAUUCAUAAACAAGUGAAUGAAAUAAGUACUUGCAUUCUUUUGGGGUGAAACCAGCACAUUUUAUAUGCGCCAGGCCUGAACAACAGGCACACUGUACUUGUCUAUGAUUGUUCGCCAAACCACGAUGACAGACCAAACAUUUACUUUGAUUUGGCCCGGGAUUUGGAUUUAUGUCUCCACAUAAAACAAGAUAUUCACGAUUAAAUGUUGCACAGCUAUUAUC